ACGAACGCUGGCGGCGUGCCUAAUACCUGCAAGUCGAGCGAGCGGAACCAACAGAUUUACUUCGGUAAUGACGUUGGGAAAGCGAGCGGCGGAUGGGUGAGUAACACGUGGGGAACCUGCCCCUAAGUCUGGGAUACCAUUUGGAAACAGGUGCUAAUACCGGAUAAGAAAGCAGAUCGCAUGAUCAGCUUUUAAAAGGCGGCGUAAGCUGUCGCUAAGGGAUGGCCCCGCGGUGCAUUAGCUAGUUGGUAAGGUAACGGCUUACCAAGGCAACGAUGCAUAGCCGAGUUGAGAGACUGAUCGGCCACAUUGGGACUGAGACACGGCCCAAACUCCUACGGGAGGCAGCAGUAGGGAAUCUUCCACAAUGGACGCAAGUCUGAUGGAGCAACGCCGCGUGAGUGAAGAAGGUUUUCGGAUCGUAAAGCCCUGUUGUUGGUGAAGAAGGAUAGAGGUAGUAACUGGCCUUUAUUUGACGGUAAUCAACCAGAAAGUCACGGCUAACUACGUG
Molecule: ribosomal RNA, 511 nt
Filed under: uncultured bacterium
Lineage: Bacteria
Description: partial 16S ribosomal RNA
Rfam family: Bacterial small subunit ribosomal RNA
Source: RNAcentral